RNAcentral lists this ribosomal RNA (561 nucleotides) under uncultured bacterium. RNAcentral describes it as "partial 16S ribosomal RNA". It matches the Rfam family "Bacterial small subunit ribosomal RNA", at positions 355 to 1375 of the family's 1533-position model. The record is from RNAcentral.
UGGGGAAUAUUGGACAAUGGGCGCAAGCCUGAUCCAGCCAUGCCGCGUGAGUGAUGAAGGCCUUAGGGUUGUAAAGCUCUUUCGCCGACGAGGAUAAUGACGGUAGUCGGAGAAGAAGCCCCGGCUAACUUCGUGCCAGCAGCCGCGGUAAUACGAAGGGGGCUAGCGUUGUUCGGAAUCACUGGGCGUAAAGCGCACGUAGGCGGAUUGUUAAGUCAGGGGUGAAAGCCUGGAGCUCAACUCCAGAACUGCCCUUGAUACUGGCAAUCUCGAGUCCGGAAGAGGUAAGUGGAACUGCGAGUGUAGAGGUGAAAUUCGUAGAUAUUCGCAAGAACACCAGUGGCGAAGGCGGCUUACUGGUCCGGUACUGACGCUGAGGUGCGAAAGCGUGGGGAGCAAAACAGGAUUAGAUACCCUGGUAGUCCACGCCGUAAACGAUGGAGGCUAGCCGUUGGCGAGCAUGCUCGUCAGUGGCGCAGCUAACGCAUUAAGCCUCCCGCCUGGGGAGUACGGUCGCAAGAUUAAAACUUAAAUGAAUUGACGGGGUCAUAGCUGUUUCCU